AGAGGGAGGCUCAUCAAGCCCUAACACUCAUUCAUCCGCUCUCGUUUGUUUGAUCUAUUUCCAUCGAGUAACCCUCCACGACAAAGAAGAUACAGAUAGGAAAGUAUAUGUGAAUUUGGACACACUAACUAAUAGUCGUUGGAUUGAGUCAUAGAGAUCCAACGGUGAAAGGCACGUUUUGUUAAGACAUCACCCUCCCAGCCUCCACUCCACCGUCGCAUUUCCUCUCGCCGUCUCAACUCGUUCUCACUCUAGGAUUUGAAGUCGAAGAUUUGUUGUUCGUUCAGGAACAAUGACUCGCUCAAGCAAAACAAUUUAUGUCGGAAAUCUUCCUGGUGAUAUUCGCGAGAGGGAAGUUGAAGAUCUGUUUUACAAGGUCUUUGACGUUUUGCAACCGACUAUACAUUUGAUGAGGAAUCACUGCGAAUCUCUUCUAUUUAUUGUUCGACAGAAUGUCCACAAGGAUUUUGCAGCUAAUACCAUUAGAGAUUAGUGACCACAUCACUUAUUCUUAGGUGUGGCAAGGGCUAGGAAAGGAAGCUGUUGUCAUGAUGAUGGAAUUUGCAGUUGAGAAUAUAGGGAUACAUGUCUUUACCACUAAAAUUGGGGAUUUAAAUUAAGCUUCUCUUCAUAUGUUUCAAAAACUGGGAUUCGAAAAAGUUUCUCACAGUCAUGUCUUCAAAGAGAGGUCCUAGGAAAGGAAGCUGUUGUCAUGAUGAUGGAAUUUGCAGUUGAGAAUAUAGGGAUACAUGUCUUUACCACUAAAAUUGGGGAUUUAAAUUAAGCUUCUCUUCAUAUGUUUCAAAAACUGGGAUUCGAAAAAGUUUCUCACAGUCAUGUCUUCAAAGAGAGGUCCUAGGAAAGGAAGCUGUUGUCAUGAUGAUGGAAUUUGCAGUUGAGAAUAUAGGGAUACAUGUCUUUACCACUAAAAUUGGGGAUUUAAAUUAAGCUUCUCUUCAUAUGUUUCAAAAACUGGGAUUCGAAAAAGUUUCUCAUAGUCAUGUCUUCAAAGAGGUAAGCUCCUCUUUUUUUCUUUUCUUUUUUAUCUAUUUGAGGACUAAUAUUACUUGAAUCUAGCAUUCCUAUAUAAAUAUGAAUUGAAUGGUGAGAUAGUGUGCACCAUAUUUCUUAGAGGUCCUAGGAAAGGAAGCUGUUGUCAUGAUGAUGGAAUUUGCAGUUGAGAAUAUAGGGAUACAUGUCUUUACCACUAAAAUUGGGGAUUUAAAUUAAGCUUCUCUUCAUAUGUUUCAAAAACUGGGAUUCGAAAAAGUUUCUCACGGUCAUGUCUUCAAAGAGCAAUGACGCUUUCAACUGAAUGUGUCUAACAUUCAACAAGGAAAGUAGGUUGGACCAUGUCUCAAAAUAUACAAUAUCAUCAAAGAAACCUAAGAACUGAUGUAUUCAUGAAUGUUAAAAUGGAGGUUGAAGUCUCAAGCUCACUUCAAUCGGACAUGCCUUAGUAUAGGAGGAAGAUGAGAAUUCCAGAUUGAAUCUCUGCUGCCAUCAAAUCACAUUACGUCGACAAAAGGAUUGUUGGAUGCCUUGGUGGUGAAGAUGACGAGCAUGAAUGUUGUUUGGUUUUGGCUAGAGAAAGAAAAGGCACACAAAUGUACUGUCUUCUCACAAUAUUUUGAGAUGAUACAUCGGCAUAUUUUGAAAUGAAUGGGAUACACCAAAGGAAGAACUCAUGGCAUGAUGGAGAAUUAUGAACAAAUUGUCCUAUAUCGUCUAGUUGGAGUUGGACUUAUCAGUUCCAGAAUGGAUUAUGGGGUAUGGAUGGAGAAUAGUAGAUGAACUUACCAUAAAUGUGAUGUAGUUGCUCGUUGCACGACCCAGGUAAAAUACCAUUCUAGUAAGAUUUGAAAACUAAGUUAAAGUUUGGAAAAUUUUAAUUUAUAUAAAAUGAUAAGUGUACCUAGGAGCAUAGACAACCAUUUUAGUUUAUCUUAAUAACCUUCGAAUGUGAAAUAUUCGUACGGAGAGCCUUGAUUCGUGGUAUUUGGGGGCAAGAAAGUUAUGUGAGCAUUGUUAACCCUAAGAAAGAUUAGAGGGAGGUUUCAAUGGUUUUACUGAAAUCAAAAUAAUGAUUUUGAAUAUGCCAUUUUAUUGUUGUC
This is a long non-coding RNA of Impatiens glandulifera, 2114 nucleotides long. RefSeq lists it as uncharacterized. The record is from RefSeq and is a predicted model, not a curated record. The transcript is spliced from 18 exons. NCBI's taxonomy places the organism in Eukaryota, Viridiplantae, Streptophyta, Magnoliopsida, Ericales, Balsaminaceae.